This 450-nucleotide ribosomal RNA is filed under the name uncultured bacterium. Its description in RNAcentral is "partial 16S ribosomal RNA". It matches the Rfam family "Bacterial small subunit ribosomal RNA", at positions 354 to 796 of the family's 1533-position model. The record is from RNAcentral.
GUGGGGAAUCUUCCACAAUGGACGAAAGUCUGAUGGAGCAACGCCGCGUGAGUGAAAAAGGGUUUCGGCUCGUAAAGCUCUGUUGUCGGGGACGAAUGUGCAGUAUUUGAAUAAAGUACUGCAAUGACGGUACCUGACGAGGAAGCCACGGCUAACUACGUGCCAGCAGCCGCGGUAAUACGUAGGUGGCAAGCGUUGUCCGGAAUUAUUGGGCGUAAAGGGAGCGCAGGCGGGAAGGUAAGUCGGUCUUAAAAGUGCGGGGCUCAACCCCGUGAUGGGAUCGAAACUAUCUUUCUUGAGUGCAGGAGAGGAAAGUGGAAUUCCUAGUGUAGCGGUGAAAUGCGUAGAUAUUAGGAGGAACACCAGUGGCGAAGGCGACUUUCUGGACUGUAACUGACGCUGAGGCUCGAAAGCCAGGGGAGCGAACGGGAUUAGAUACCCCAGUAGUCC